CCUAGUUGAUCCUGCUAAUAGUCAUAUGCUUGUCUCAAAGAUAAAGCCAUGAAUGUCUAAGUAUGAACUAAUUCAGACUAUGAAACUACAGAUGGCUCAUUAAAUCAGUUAUAGUUUUUUUUAUGGUACCCUACUAUUUGGAUAACCGUAGUAAUUAUAGAGCUAAUACAUCCACCAAGCCCCGACUCUUUGGAAGGGAUGCAUUUGUUAGAUAAAAGGCCGAUGCAGGCUUGCACACUUCUCCAGUGAAUCAUGAUAAAUCAGUGGAUUGCACAACCCUUGUGUUGGCGAUGCUUCAUUCAAAUUUCUACCCUAUCAACUUUCGAAGGAAGGAUAUAGUCCUACCAUGGUGGUGAUGGGUGACAGAGAAUUAGGGUUUGAUUUUGGAGAGGGAGCCUGAGAAAUGGUUACCACAUCCAAGGAAGGUAGCAGGUGUGCAAAUUACCCAAUCCUGAUAUGGGGAGGUAGUGAUAAUAAAUAACAACACUGGGCUCAUCAAGUUUGGUAAUUGGAAUGGGUACAAUCUAAAUAUGUUAACGAGGAUCCACUAGAGGGCAAGUCUAGUGCUAGCAGCCAUGGUAAUUCCAGCUCCAAUAGCAUAUAUUUAAUUUGUUGCAGUUAAAAAACUCGUAGUUGGAUCUUGGGUCGUAAAGGUCGAUUUUCCUACUUGGUGUGCACCUACCCUUCCAUCCCUUUUGUCGGUCGUCUGCUACUAGCCUUAAUUGGCUAGGUCGUGGCUCUAGUGCUGCUACUUUGAAAAAAUUAGACUGCUCAAAGCAAGCUUAUGCUCUGAAUACAUUAGCAUGGAAUUAUGUGAUAGGAUCCUAGUCCUAUCGUGUUGGCCUUUGGGACCAGAGUAAUGAUUAAUAGGGACUGUCGAGGGCAUUCAUAUUUCAUUUUCAGAGGUGAAAUUAUUGGAUUUAUGAAAGAUGGGCCACAGUGAAAGAAUUUUCCAAGGAUGUUUUCAUUAAUCAAGAACAAAAUUUGGGGGCUCGAAGAUGAUUCGUUACCAUCCUAGUCUCAACCAUAAACGAUGCCGGCUAGGGAUUGGCGGAUGUUGCUCUAAGGACUCUGCCAGCACCUUCUAAGAAAUUAGAGUGUUUGGGUUUCGGGGGGAGAAUGGUUGCAAGGCUCAAACUUAAAGGAAUUGAUGGAAGGGCACCACCAGGAGUGGAGCCUUUGGCUUAAUUUGAGUCAACAUGGGGAAGCUUUCUAGGUCUAGACAUAGUAAGGAUUGAUAGAUUGAGAGCUCUUUCUUGAUUUUGGGCCACACACGUGCUACAUUGAUGCAGCCUACGAGUUUUUAUUCCUGGUUCGAGAGGAUCGGGAAAUCUUCUCAAAUUGCAUCAUGAUGGUUAGACCAGUGCAAUUAUUGGUCUUCAAUAAGGAAUUCCUAGUAAGCGCAUGUCAUCAACUCGUGUUGAAUACAUCCCUACCUUUUGUACACAACACCUGUUGCUCCUACCAAUUGAAUGAUUCAGUGAAGUGUUCAGACUACGUCGACGAUGGUGGUUUUCCACUAUCGACGUCAUGAGAAGUUCAUUGAACCUUAUCAUUUAGAGGAAGGAGAAGUCAUAACAAGGUUACUGUAGGUGAACCUAUGGUAG
RNAcentral lists this ribosomal RNA (1607 nucleotides) under Pinus taeda (loblolly pine). Its description in RNAcentral is "SSU rRNA". It matches the Rfam family "Eukaryotic small subunit ribosomal RNA". Lineage: Eukaryota; Viridiplantae; Streptophyta; Pinopsida; Pinales; Pinaceae. The record is from RNAcentral.